Molecule: ribosomal RNA, 253 nt
Filed under: uncultured bacterium
Lineage: Bacteria
Description: partial 16S ribosomal RNA
Rfam family: Bacterial small subunit ribosomal RNA
Source: RNAcentral
UACAGAGGGUGCGAGCGUUAAUCGGAAUUACUGGGCGUAAAGCGUGCGUAGACGGUUGUUUAAGUCAGAUGUGAAAGCCCCGGGCUCAACCUGGGAAUUGCAUUUGAGACUGCGUAGCUAGGGUGCGGAAGAGGGAAGCGGAAUUUCCGGUGUAGCGGUGAAAUGCGUAGAUAUCGGAAGGAACAUCAGUGGCGAAAGCGGCUUCCUGGUCCAGCACCGACGUUCAGGCACGAAAGCGUGGGGAGCAAACAGG